Molecule: long non-coding RNA, 542 nt
Organism: Bubalus bubalis (water buffalo)
Lineage: Eukaryota; Metazoa; Chordata; Mammalia; Artiodactyla; Bovidae
Exons: 2
Source: RefSeq, a predicted model, not a curated record
GUAGGUUUCAUUCUGAGGUUUCUUUUCUUGCCUUGUUGACGGCUACCACCUUGCUGUGUGCUGGCCUGGCCUUUCCUCAUGUGUGUGCAUGAAGAGAGAGAGGAAGCAAGCUCUCCUGUGUCUAAGGACACUGAUCCCAUUGGACUAGGACUCCAACUCAUGACCUUAUCUCACCCUAGUUACCUUCCAAAGACCUCGUCUCUAAAUACCAUCACAUUGCGGAUCACUCUCCCUGGGGAAGUCACCCACCACGCCAUGAGGAUGCUCAAGCAGCCCUGUGGAGAGGUGCACUUGCUGGGGAACUAAGGCCAUCCACCAGCUUGUCAACCAUGUGAAUGAGCCGUCUUGGAAGUGGCUCCUCCGGCUCCAGCCAAGCCUUAAGAUAAACCGAACUAUACUCCCAGCACCAACAUCCUCACUAGAGACACUGAACUGGAAUCACUGAGAUAAUAGUAUUGACUUCAUAAGUUAACAAAGAGCUGCUCUUGAUUCCUGACCCACAUAAAGUGUGUGAAAAAAAUAAAUGUUUAUUAUUGUUUUAA